RNAcentral lists this unclassified non-coding RNA (343 nucleotides) under soil metagenome. RNAcentral describes it as "partial contains 5.8S ribosomal RNA, internal transcribed spacer 2, and large subunit ribosomal RNA". The stretch from base 1 to 120 matches the Rfam family "5.8S ribosomal RNA", at positions 35 to 154 of the family's 154-position model. The record is from RNAcentral.
GAUGAAGAACGCAGCGAAAUGCGAUAAGUAAUGUGAAUUGCAGAAUUCAGUGAAUCAUCGAAUCUUUGAACGCACAUUGCGCCCGCUAGUAUUCUGGCGGGCAUGCCUGUCCGAGCGUCAUUUCAACCCUCAAGCCCCCGGGCUUGGUGUUGGGGAUCGGCGAGCCUCCGCGCCCGCCGUCCCCUAAAUCUAGUGGCGGUCUCGCUGUAGCUUCCUCUGCGUAGUAGCACACCUCGCACUGGGAAACAGCGCGGCCACGCCGUUAAACCCCCAACUUCUGAACGUUUGACCUCGGAUCAGGUAGGAAUACCCGCUGAACUUAAGCAUAUCAAUAAACGGAGGA